CCAACAGCUGAACCAAGGCAUCUCUAAGCAAAUAAGAGGGUAUAAAACCUAGUAAAGCCUGGCUUGGUCCCUGGCCACCACCGACUAUGAAGAGGAAUCUUUGGCUCAUGUGCAGGAAUAGGGUUUGGGAGAGGUGGCCCAUCCUGGUCCAUAACUAGUAACACGCCAUGAGGUUAUACUCGAAUAGGAGCAGGAUCUAUAGGCUCAGUCUCCAGACCCUCCUCACGCAUAGCUGUAGCACG
This 242-nucleotide long non-coding RNA is filed under the name Capsicum annuum. Its description in RNAcentral is "long non-coding RNA (CANN_LNC015891)". The record is from RNAcentral. Lineage: Eukaryota; Viridiplantae; Streptophyta; Magnoliopsida; Solanales; Solanaceae.